This 255-nucleotide ribosomal RNA is filed under the name uncultured bacterium. Its description in RNAcentral is "partial 16S ribosomal RNA". It matches the Rfam family "Bacterial small subunit ribosomal RNA", at positions 524 to 777 of the family's 1533-position model. The record is from RNAcentral.
UACGAAGGGGGCUAGCGUUGCUCGGAAUCACUGGGCGUAAAGCGCACGUAGGCGGAUUCUUAAGUCAGGGGUGAAAUCCUGGAGCUCAACUCCAGAACUGCCUUUGAUACUGAGGGUCUUGAGUUCGGGAGAGGUGAGUGGAACUGCGAGUGUAGGAGGUGAAAUUCGUAGAUAUUCGCAAGAACACCAGUGGCGAAGGCGGCUCACUGGCCCGAUACUGACGCUGAGGCACGAAAGCGUGGGGAGCAAACAGGG